AUUUUCUCCUGUCUCCUCCGAAUAGUCUAUUUUCUCAAAUGUCAUAUAUGGUGAGGUGUUGGCAAGGAGAUCCUGGCUUUGCCGAUGAAGCUUAGUUGUGUCAUUUUAUUCCUUUCCUUGAAAGGAGUCAAAGCUGCUCACCAGUUCUGCAAUUCAUACUUUCUGAGCUGUCCAGUUAUGUUUAUGAUGAGGGAAAUGAGGGUGCAGUUUGGAACUCUGCUAGCAGAUUUGGGCUUAUCACUUUUCACAAGAAUUACCAGGU
This is a long non-coding RNA of Rhodamnia argentea, 262 nucleotides long. RefSeq lists it as uncharacterized. The transcript is spliced from 3 exons. The record is from RefSeq and is a predicted model, not a curated record. NCBI's taxonomy places the organism in Eukaryota, Viridiplantae, Streptophyta, Magnoliopsida, Myrtales, Myrtaceae.